CUUCAAAUUGUAUCUUCAUUCCCAGUUGUCCUUUUAGGGAAGAGAUAGCAAUAUUGCUAUUGCGCUUCAUUCAAGUCUCUUUGAAGAGUGUUGCAGCCAGCAGCACUCAACGGUCUGGGUAGAAUUGCACCGUGAGAAGCAGUUAUAUCAAUUGUUAGAGGCAAGCUUCCUAGCAUUCCAUUUGAGAGGCCAAUGUCUCUGAGCUCCAUGAGGUUUUUUGAGUAAGAGUUUUAAUCUGAACUCAUUUAGAACUUUAUUUUUUUUAAAUUAGGUCUUUGAUGUGUUCAUGAUCUAAUUUUAAAAAUUGAAAUUUUAAAUGAGUUUAAAUUUGAAGUCUUAUUUCCAGAAACUAAUGAAACUCACAGACUUUGGCCUGUGAAGUAAGUAAAUGUCUCUGUCAGCAGGGUGCUCCUGCUUUGCAGUGUUUGUAGCGCUGCUCAGAUCAAUCAAGAAAGGUUAUGUGUUCCUGCUUUAAGUAGUUUCUCUUUCAUGAGGUACUCCUUUCAUUCUCCAAGAGUUCCUUAAAUUACUGAUCUUUCCUUCUGAUAAAAAUAUUCAAAUUGUUGAUUUUGUUCUCCAGGCAUAGGUCGUUAUUAUUUCUUCAUCUUUUGUGAAUGAGGACAUCAUGAUGUCAUGUGUUGCUGUGUUAUCAAGUUCUUUUCUCAUGAACUAUGGCCUUCUCUGUCCAGGAGUUGCUUAAGUUCAAGAGUCCACCAAAUCCUCUGUGUGACUCCCACUCUACAGACAUUCAUGAAUGUAUGCUACAGUGAACAGACAAAAGAAGUCAGGUAUGCCUUGUGUUAACCCAGA
This is a long non-coding RNA of Octodon degus (degu), 810 nucleotides long. RefSeq lists it as uncharacterized. The transcript is spliced from 3 exons. NCBI's taxonomy places the organism in Eukaryota, Metazoa, Chordata, Mammalia, Rodentia, Octodontidae. The record is from RefSeq and is a predicted model, not a curated record.